UUGAUUUUUGCAGCUAUGGAAGGAAACUACAUUGAUAAGACUCGAGUGUUGGAUAUCAAACCAUUGCGUACUCUCAGACCUAUCUUCCCUAGUGGGAAUCAAGCUCCUCCUUUCGUCUGUGCACCUCCUUUUGGUCCCUUUCCAGCUGGAUUCUCACCUUUCUACCCCUUUGGCUCCUCUCAAGUGAAUGAACAAACACCAGAUCUCUCUCAAGCUCAACACCAGCCUCAGCUUCCACCUCAAGGUCAGCAUCAGCCUCAGAAUCUAUCAGAACGUUCGCUGGCUACUCCUUCGAGGCCACUUAGAUCUUCUAAUGGAGACAUAGAGCCUGUGGAGUCAACUUUGAAAAGAAAGACUCCUAAAAAGCGUCAGCUCUCUACUGUGAAUUUCGAGAGUGGGAUUAGUGUUGCUGAAAGAGACAAUGGCAACAGGGAGCUGGUUACGAGUGUUCUUAUGCGGUUUGACGCGUUGAGAAGAAGGCUUGCACAGCUGGAGGAUGCGGAGAAUGCAGUCAACGGGAUCAUCAAACGCCCUGAUUUAAAAGCAGGAUCUACUUGUAUGAGCAGAGGGGUUAGGACCAACACCAAGAAGAGACCAGGUCUUGUUCCAGGCGUUGAGAUUGGGGACAUAUUCUUCUUCAGGUUUGAGAUGUGUUUGGUCGGGUUGCAUUCUCCAUCGAUGGCUGGCAUUGACUAUCUGGUCAUCAAGGGGGGAGAUGCAGAAGAAGAGGAGCCUAUCGCCACCAGCAUUGUAUCUUCUGCAUAUACCGAAAACGACAGAGUUAAUCCGGAUGUUCUGGUGUACACCGGUCAGGGAGGUCACGCUGAUAAAGAUAAAGAAGCAUCAGACCAGAAGCUGGAGAGAGGUAACCUCGCUUUGGAGAAGAGCUUGCAUAGGAACAAUGCGGUUAGGGUGAUCAGAGGCUUGAACUUGAAGGAAGCUACUCACAGGGUUAAGAUCUAUGUCUACGAUGGGAUCUACGAGAUCAAAGAGGCGUGGAUAGAGAAAGGCAAAUCAGGACACGACACCUUCAAGUAUAAGCUAGUGAGAGCUCCUAAUCAGCCUCCUGGUUUUGCUACGUGGACCGAGAUACAAAGUUGGAAGACUGGUAAGUCCCCAAGGAGAGGACUCAUCCUCCCUGAUCUCACUUCCGGCGUCGAAAGCGUAGCUGUCUCGCUUGUGAACGAAGUUGAUAGCGAGAAUGGUCCUUCUUACUUCACCUACUCCACAACGGUUAAAUACUCAAUGUCCUUUCAGCUGACGCAGCCUUCUAGCGGAUGCGGUUGCGGAAACAAAUGCAAGCCGGGGAACUUGGAAUGCCCCUGCAUAAGGAAGAACGGAGGCGAGUUUCCUUACACAGGGAAUGAUAUUUUAGUUAGCCGGAGGCCUAUGGUAUAUGAAUGCAGCCCUUCUUGCCCUUGCUUGACUUGUAAAAGCAAGGUGACUCAGAUGGGAGUGAAACUGAGGCUGGAGGUUUUCAAGACGGUGGAUAGAGGAUGGGGGUUACGCUCGUGGGAUCCUAUUCGCGCCGGUGCGUUUAUAUGUGUGUAUGCAGGUGAGGCCAGAGAUAAGUCGAAAGUGCAGCAGACGAUGGCUAACGAUGACUUUACGUUUGAUACAACGCGCGUUUACACCCCUUUUAAAUGGAACUAUGAGGCUGGCUUAGCGGACGAAGAUGCUUCCGAGGAGGUGUCUGAAGAACCUAUACUCCCUUUGCCUCUUAUAAUCAGUGCUAAGAAUAUUGGGAACGUUGCACGGUUCAUGAAUCACAGUUGCUCUCCUAAUGUUUUCUGGCAGCCGGUUAGUUAUGAGAAUAACGGUCAGCUCUACUUGCACGUCGCCUUCUUUGCUAUUUCACACAUCCCUCCCAUGACUGAGUUGACUUACGACUAUGGUGUUUCAAGACCAACGGGAGCUCAAAAUGGCAAUCCUGUGUAUGGUAAAAAGAGGUGCUUUUGCGGAACACAGUAUUGCCGUGGCUCAUUUGGUUGAUGCCAACGUGUAAAAGGUUUGUUUCUCUGAGCUUUUUGUUAUUUAUUGAAUCUAUAUUCAUUAUCUGAUUACAGGUAGUGGAAGUGACUGCUUUUGGUUUACAGGUAAAGUGUUUAAAGUCUUCUUCUCUUCAACGGCAUAAGACGCAAAGCUGUGAUGGAUUCUUUCCUGCUUCUUCUCCAUCAAAGUCUUUAUCUAUUUCUCUGAUCCUAGGAAAUGUAUCCUUCUCUCCUGUUGGAUAUGUGAUCUUAUUAGUAUUUUUUUUUCAGAUUGUUUUUAGGACAAAACCUAUGGGAAGUUGGGAAACUAGUAGCCUAUCUUUGUUUGAUUAAAAGAUUUGAUGAAUAUGAUAAUCAGUUUUAACAGUUUAUCUGUCUUAUGCAAUGACAACUAUAAACAGCUUCUUGUACAGACCACCACCACUACACACUAAAAACAGUACAACUAACAUGUUUACAAAUCGGUUAAUAUGAUUAGUAAGUUCAGCUUGGUGAUUCUAAAACUAAAGAAAGAAUCAUUUGGACCUCAAAGACUGAGAGCUACAGCCAUCUUUACACACGUGUGAAAAACCAAACCGGCAACCGACAAAAGCUCCAAAAAGGCGUUACAUCACGAAAAGAAGGAAUGCAAGUAAAACUACAAAGGACGAAACUGAAACCUCCUACGUAGGUAAUCCCAGUCAUAUUAGAUCAUCGUACGGCUCAAGAUCAAAUGAUUUAGAUCCAACGGUUAAAAUCUUAUCGGCUUCUUCUCCAACUGUUACAGAUGUAGAGUGAAAAAAUCACACAGAUGUUAAUUAAUAUUAGUAAUUUCUUACCAAAGCUGGAAACUUUAUGCUCUAAUCUUCUUCCCUCUCGCUCUUCCCCUGUCUCUCUCGUUUCGGAAACCCUAAAUCUGACGGAGCAUUUCGAUCUCCAAGUCCCCAAAUUUUCAGGUUUUUUUUUCCUAAAGUUAUAAGCUUUCUGUGUUAUUGUUAUUGUACAUCUUUGAAUCUGCGAUGAAUGAUGUGUUGAGGGUCCUCUGUUCUUUAGUCAGUAGGCUAGAUUAAUCUGCUAAAGACUGUUCAUUUUCUCCAUUUGCAUAGAAAAAAUCAGAUCUUUUUAUUAAUUUGGUAAAUUUUGAUUGUUCAGCUUACUAUGGAAGGAAACUUCGGAAGCUACACUGACAAGACUCGAGUGUUGGAUAUCAAACCGUUGCGCACUCUCAGACCUGUCUUCCCAAGUGGGAACCAAGCUCCUCCUUUUGUCUGCGCACCUCCUUUUGGUCCGUUCCCUCCUGGCUUCUCUCCUUUCUACCCCUUUAGCUCCUCUCAACACACUCCAGAUCUCAACCAAGCUCAGAAUCCACCUCAGCAUCAGCCUCAUAACAGCUCAGAGC
RNAcentral lists this long non-coding RNA (3369 nucleotides) under Brassica rapa (field mustard). RNAcentral describes it as "long non-coding RNA (BRAP_LNC007982)". Lineage: Eukaryota; Viridiplantae; Streptophyta; Magnoliopsida; Brassicales; Brassicaceae. The record is from RNAcentral.